UGGUACGUUCGUUUCUCGACUACCACUUCGGCUUCGGCUUCCCUGAGUGAAGUUUGUGCGAACCAUGAUAUAUCGCGUCAUCUGGUCUCAGCUUGGUAUCUACAAGCGCCCUCUUCGAGUGCGACAGGGCAAUCACUAACUGGUCUCAAGCGGCUGUAACAAGCGCUUAAAACUGGCAAAGGAGCUGCGGAAUCGGUCCCCCUGUGUCUUCGUGGAGACCACUACGACGAGACUUCGCUUGUUCGCGCAAAAUGUCGAAGACGACCUACGCUGUGCCGGUGGAAGAGGAGGGGAGCAUCUUCAGCAUCCGCAACAUCGUGGCAGCCCUCGUCACCGUGACGAUACUCGCGGGUAUCGGGAUCGCGGUUCACACAGAGAGCAUCCGUACGGAAUACGCCACGAUUGCAGGCGCGGCCGUGCUGGUACUCUGGGCCCUGGUGAUAGCCUGUGAUGUGCGGUGCGUGCCCGAGAAGCGGCGCCACUACAACGAAAUCACGAACAACGAUGUCAAGAGGCCCCGCUGUGAGCCACAAUGGCAAGGCCAAGAAACCGCCUGAACUCGUGACGGUUGAAAUAAAGGGUAGUAACCAGCUCCUCCAA
Rhipicephalus microplus (southern cattle tick) is the source of this 600-nucleotide long non-coding RNA. NCBI's taxonomy places the organism in Eukaryota, Metazoa, Arthropoda, Arachnida, Ixodida, Ixodidae. The record is from RefSeq and is a predicted model, not a curated record.